This 411-nucleotide RNase P RNA is filed under the name Falsiroseomonas bella. RNAcentral's name for it is "Bacterial RNase P class A". It matches the Rfam family "Bacterial RNase P class A". Rfam says of the family: Ribonuclease P (RNase P) is a ubiquitous endoribonuclease, found in archaea, bacteria and eukarya as well as chloroplasts and mitochondria. Its best characterised activity is the generation of mature 5'-ends of tRNAs by cleaving the 5'-leader elements of precursor-tRNAs. Lineage: Bacteria; Pseudomonadati; Pseudomonadota; Alphaproteobacteria; Acetobacterales; Roseomonadaceae. The record is from Rfam by way of RNAcentral.
CCGGGUGGCCGGGCGACCGCUGGCCCACAAAGGCUGGAGGAAAGUCCGGGCUCCACGGGAAUGCGGUGCCGGCCAACGGCCGGCGGGCAGAGGGGGAAACCCCGAGGCCCAGGGAAAGUGCCACAGAGAGCAGACCGCCACGGCAGGGGGAGACCUCUCCCGCGGCAAGGGUGAAAGGGUGGGGCAAGAGCCCACCGCGCCCCUGGCGACAGGGGCGGCAUGGCAAACCCCACCGGGAGCAAGGCCGAAUAGGGGCGGCCGGCGUGGCGGGUCACACCGCCGACGCAGGGGCAUUCCCGCCCCGCCGCCCGGGUUGGCCGCGUGAACCCUGCGGCGACGCAGGGUCCAGAGGAAUGGUCGUCCAGCGCCGAAAGGCGCGGACAGAACCCGGCUUACAGGCCACCCGGCGCC